Molecule: long non-coding RNA, 572 nt
Filed under: Phoenix dactylifera (date palm)
Lineage: Eukaryota; Viridiplantae; Streptophyta; Magnoliopsida; Arecales; Arecaceae
Description: long non-coding RNA (PDAC_LNC020610)
Source: RNAcentral
AGAAAGAAACCUCUCUAUAAGAGAACGUAGGGGCAUUAUGGGAAAUUGACUCCAUCUAAUUAAUAAAAGUCCCAUCCCACCAUCUCCCCUUCAAGUGAGUACCCAAGCAGCAACCGCAACAUCACAGCACAGCAGCCAUUCAACCCCCUCCCUCCUCUCUCGACCACCCAAGAGGGGAGAAGAAACCGAGAGGAGAAAAUUAAAAGAAUCUCCACCCUCCAAGAAGUCCAUUUCCAAUCCCCCUUCUUCCUGAUGGCCCAGCUGGAUCAGGAGUAAUGUGAGGGAAGGAAAACCAAGACCAAAACCAAACAAGAGAAGGGAUGAAAGAUAAGAGUGGCUUCAGGCGUGUAUCAAGCCAACCAAAUCCCUCCUCUCUCUCUCUCUCCAUACCAAAACAAAACUACCGUCCCCAACUUCCUAAAUUUCCCCUCUGCAGGCCAGGAAACUCUCCACCUCCCUUCAAUCAAGGGGGAAGACUCGUAGCCAGCUCCUAUUCCCAUUUUAUAUGGGGCCUUUGCUUCCUUUUGGUCACGGUCAGACCCAAGAAACUUCUCUCUCUCUCUCUCUCUCUC